RNAcentral lists this ribosomal RNA (123 nucleotides) under uncultured bacterium. RNAcentral's name for it is "partial 16S ribosomal RNA". It matches the Rfam family "Bacterial small subunit ribosomal RNA", at positions 338 to 460 of the family's 1533-position model. The record is from RNAcentral.
CCUACGGGAGGCAGCAGUGGGGAAUCUUAGACAAUGGGCGCAAGCCUGAUCUAGCCAUGCCGCGUGAGUGAUGAAGGCCUUAGGGUCGUAAAGCUCUUUCGCCAGAGAUGAUAAUGACAUAUC